ACCAAAAUCAUAAUUCUCUUUGCCUCUUUAAUCACAUCUAUUGCAUGCACAUACACGGCAACAAUUGCGUUGAUAGAAAAUAAACAUUUGGAGCGUGAUUCUUGGAUCUUGUUUUCAAAAUUCGUAGAUUAACGAGGUCAGAUUGGUCAACGUGGAUGGUGGCUGAGUGGUGCGCAGGUUGCCAAGUAAAAGAAAUUUUUAGGAAUCCAUAAUAAAUUUGUUAGGGCAUUUUAUGUUUCUCUUCAAUUCCAUUCAUGACGCUAUGUUUAUUUGAUUCAGUAUUUGAGUUUCAAUAAAUUAAGGUAUUAAAUUUUAAAUUUUA
This is a long non-coding RNA of Olea europaea var. sylvestris, 322 nucleotides long. RefSeq lists it as uncharacterized. NCBI's taxonomy places the organism in Eukaryota, Viridiplantae, Streptophyta, Magnoliopsida, Lamiales, Oleaceae. The transcript is spliced from 2 exons. The record is from RefSeq and is a predicted model, not a curated record.